UGAGUAACACGUAUCCAACCUGCCGUCUACUCUUGGACAGCCUUCUGAAAGGAAGAUUAAUACAAGAUGGCAUCAUGAGUCCGCAUGUUCACAUGAUUAAAGGUAUUCCGGUAGACGAUGGGGAUGCGUUCCAUUAGGUAGUAGGCGGGGUAACGGCCCACCUAGUCUUCGAUGGAUAGGGGUUCUGAGAGGAAGGUCCCCCACAUUGGAACUGAGACACGGUCCAG
Molecule: ribosomal RNA, 227 nt
Filed under: uncultured bacterium
Lineage: Bacteria
Description: partial 16S ribosomal RNA
Rfam family: Bacterial small subunit ribosomal RNA
Source: RNAcentral